This 539-nucleotide ribosomal RNA is filed under the name Staphylococcus epidermidis. Its description in RNAcentral is "bacterial SSU rRNA". The record is from RNAcentral. Lineage: Bacteria; Bacillati; Bacillota; Bacilli; Caryophanales; Staphylococcaceae.
GGGUUUCCGCCCCUUAGUGCUGCAGCUAACGCAUUAAGCACUCCGCCUGGGGAGUACGACCGCAAGGUUGAAACUCAAAGGAAUUGACGGGGACCCGCACAAGCGGUGGAGCAUGUGGUUUAAUUMGAAGCAACGCGAAGAACCUUACCAAAUCUUGACAUCCUCUGACCCCUCUAGAGAUAGAGUUUUCCCCUUCGGGGGACAGAGUGACAGGUGGUGCAUGGUUGUCGUCAGCUCGUGUCGUGAGAUGUUGGGUUAAGUCCCGCAACGAGCGCAACCCUUAAGCUUAGUUGCCAUCAUUAAGUUGGGCACUCUAAGUUGACUGCCGGUGACAAACCGGAGGAAGGUGGGGAUGACGUCAAAUCAUCAUGCCCCUUAUGAUUUGGGCUACACACGUGCUACAAUGGACAAUACAAAGGGCAGCGAAACCGCGAGGUCAAGCAAAUCCCAUAAAGUUGUUCUCAGUUCGGAUUGUAGUCUGCAACUCGACUAUAUGAAGCUGGAAUCGCUAGUAAUCGUAGAUCAGCAUGCUACGGUGA